CCUACGGGAGGCAGCAGUGAGGAAUAUUGGUCAAUGGACGAGAGUCUGAACCAGCCAAGUAGCGUGAAGGAUGACUGCCCUAUGGGUUGUAAACUUCUUUUAUAUGGGAGUAAAAUGUUCCACGUGUGGGAUUUUGUAUGUACCAUAUGAAUAAGGAUCGGCUAACUCCGUGCCAGCAGCCGCGGUAAUACGGAGGAUCCGAGCGUUAUCCGGAUUUAUUGGGUUUAAAGGGAGCGUAGGUGGAUUGUUAAGUCAGUUGUGAAAGUUUGCGGCUCAACCGUAAAAUUGCAGUUGAAACUGGCAGUCUUGAGUGCAGUAGAGGUAGGCGGAAUUUGUGGUGUAGCGGUGAAAUGCUUAGAUAUCACGAAGAACUCCGAUUGCGAAGGCAGUUCACUGGACUGCAACUGACACUGAGGCUCGAAAGUGUGGGUAUCAAACAGGAUUAGAUACCCGAGUAGUC
Molecule: ribosomal RNA, 460 nt
Filed under: uncultured bacterium
Lineage: Bacteria
Description: partial 16S ribosomal RNA
Rfam family: Bacterial small subunit ribosomal RNA
Source: RNAcentral